This 441-nucleotide ribosomal RNA is filed under the name uncultured bacterium. Its description in RNAcentral is "partial 16S ribosomal RNA". It matches the Rfam family "Bacterial small subunit ribosomal RNA", at positions 338 to 795 of the family's 1533-position model. The record is from RNAcentral.
CCUACGGGAGGCAGCAGUGGGGGAUAUUGCACAAUGGGGGGAACCCUGAUGCAGCGACGCCGCGUGGGUGAAGGAGUGCUUCGGCAUGUAAAGCCCUAUCGGCAGGGAAGAAGCAAGACGGUACCUGACUAAGAAGCCCCGGCUAACUACGUGCCAGCAGCCGCGGUAAUACGUAGGGGGCGAGCGUUAUCCGGAUUUACUGGGGGUAAAGGGAGCGCAGGCGGCGUGGCAAGUCAGAUGUGAAAACCCGGGGCCCAACCCCGGGAGUGCAUUUGAAACUGCCAUGCUGGAGUGCCGGAGGGGUAAGCGGAAUUCCUAGUGUAGCGGUGAAAUGCGUAGAUAUUAGGAGGAACACCAGUGGCGGAGGCGGCUUACUGGACGGUAACUGACGCUGAGGCUCGAAAGAGUGGGGAGCAAACAGGAUUAGAUACCCCUGUAGUC